GUAUGACUGUAGCCUUGUGACUAGCCUACAGUAUUUUAGGCCUACUUCAAAAUGUUUUUUCUGUGUUUUCGAUCAACUGAUAACUAUAAAAACAGAGAUAUAGAAGACCGAAAGCUUAAAAAGACAGGUGGUGGUCCACGAGAAAAAAAUAUUAAAAGCUUCAGAAGAAACUGCCUUAACAGCAUCACUGAUGAGGGCCGAGUUAGCAGUGGCUGGUGAUUUUUACGAGACCUUCCGCAGUCACCCAGUAGAUGAAGAAAUAAUUCCUUAUAGAAUGUGCAGAUAGUUUUGCCUGUUCCAACCCCAGGGCCAUCAACUGUGCUCACCAGUCAUUGUUCCUGCCUCGACAGUGAAUGCUCCUACCUCACCAGUGAAUGCUCCUGCCUCACCAGUCAUUGUUGCUUCACCAGUCAUUGUUCCUGCCUCACCAGUCCUUGCUCCUGCCUCACCAACACUGGAGCAGGUUCAGAUAUGACUGUAGCCUACAGUAUUUAAGGCCUACUUCAAAAAAUGUUUUGUUUGUUUGUUUUCGAUCUACUGAU
This is a long non-coding RNA of Homarus americanus (American lobster), 542 nucleotides long. RefSeq lists it as uncharacterized. The record is from RefSeq and is a predicted model, not a curated record. NCBI's taxonomy places the organism in Eukaryota, Metazoa, Arthropoda, Malacostraca, Decapoda, Nephropidae. The transcript is spliced from 4 exons.